UCGGGAAUUUUGGGCAAUGGGGGAAACCCUGACCCAGCAACGCCGCGUGAAGGAUGAAGUAUUUCGGUAUGUAAACUUCGAAAGAAUAGGAAGAAUAAAUGACGGUACUAUUUAUAAGGUCCGGCUAACUACGUGCCAGCAGCCGCGGUAAUACGUAGGGACCAAGCGUUGUUCGGAUUUACUGGGCGUAAAGGGCGCGUAGGCGGCAUGACAAGUCACUUGUGAAAUCUCUGGGCUUAACCCAGAACGGCCAAGUGAUACUGUCGCGCUAGAGUGCAGAAGGGGCAAUCGGAAUUCUUGGCGUAGCGGUGAAAUGCGUAGAUAUCAAGAGGAACACCUGAGGUGAAGACGGGUUGCUGGGCUGACACUGACGCUGAGGCGCGAAAGCCAGGGGAGCAAACGGGAUUAGAUACCCUGGUAGUCCCUGAGCGGGCUGGCAAGGCGCAU
RNAcentral lists this ribosomal RNA (447 nucleotides) under uncultured bacterium. RNAcentral describes it as "bacterial SSU rRNA". It matches the Rfam family "Bacterial small subunit ribosomal RNA", at positions 355 to 825 of the family's 1533-position model. The record is from RNAcentral.